AGCAGCCGCGGUAAUUCCAGCUCCAAUAGCGUAUAUUAAAGUUGUUGCAGUUAAAAAGCUCGUAGUUGAAUUUCGGGAUUAGUACGCUGGUCGUGCCUUCGGUAUGUACUGGUGUUACUGGUUCCUACCUUCUGACGAACCGUCAUGUCAUUAAUUUGGUGUGGCGGGGAAUCAGGACUGUUACUUUGAAAAAUUAGAGUGUUUAAAGCAGGCUCGCGCUUGAAUACAUUAGCAUGGAAUAAUGAAAUAGGACGUUCGAUCCUAUUUUGUUGGUUUCUAGGAUUGACGUAAUGAUUAAUAGGGAUAGUUGGGGGCAUUAGUAUUCAAUUGUCAGAGGUGAAAUUCUUGGAUUUAUUGAAGACUAACUACUGCGAAAGCAUUUGCCAAGGAUGUUUUCAUUAAUCAAAACGAAAGUUAGGGGAUCGAAGACGAUCAGAUACCGUCGUAGUCUUAACCAUAAACUAUGCCGACUAGGGAUCGGAUGAUGUUAUUUUUAAUGACUCAUU
This 506-nucleotide small RNA is filed under the name uncultured Glomus. Its description in RNAcentral is "SSU rRNA". It matches the Rfam family "Eukaryotic small subunit ribosomal RNA", at positions 569 to 1080 of the family's 1831-position model. Lineage: Eukaryota; Fungi; Glomeromycota; Glomeromycetes; Glomerales; Glomeraceae. The record is from RNAcentral.